This 498-nucleotide ribosomal RNA is filed under the name uncultured bacterium. Its description in RNAcentral is "partial 16S ribosomal RNA". It matches the Rfam family "Bacterial small subunit ribosomal RNA", at positions 30 to 523 of the family's 1533-position model. The record is from RNAcentral.
AUUGAACGCUGGCGGCAUGCCUUACACAUGCAAGUCGAACGGUAACAGGUCUUCGGAUGCUGACGAGUGGCGAACGGGUGAGUAAUACAUCGGAACGUGCCUAGUAGUGGGGGAUAACUACUCGAAAGAGUGGCUAAUACCGCAUGAGAUCUAUGGAUGAAAGCAGGGGAUCGCAAGACCUUGUGCUACUAGAGCGGCCGAUGGCAGAUUAGGUAGUUGGUGGGAUAAAAGCUUACCAAGCCGACGAUCUGUAGCUGGUCUGAGAGGACGAUCAGCCACACUGGGACUGGGACACGGCCCAGACUCCUACGGGAGGAAGCAGUGGGGAAUUUUGGACAAUGGGCGCAAGCCUGAUCCAGCAACGCCGCGUGCAGGAUGAAGGCCUUCGGGUUGUAAACUGCUUUUGUACGGAACGAAAAGCCCCGGGUUAAUACCCUGGGGUCAUGACGGUACCGUAAGAAUAAGCACCGGCUAACUACGUGCCAGCAGCCGCGGUAA